RNAcentral lists this ribosomal RNA (503 nucleotides) under uncultured bacterium. RNAcentral's name for it is "partial 16S ribosomal RNA". It matches the Rfam family "Bacterial small subunit ribosomal RNA", at positions 28 to 523 of the family's 1533-position model. The record is from RNAcentral.
GAUGAACGCUAGCGACAGGCUUAACACAUGCAAGUCGAGGGGCAGCAUAAAAGUAGCAAUACUUUGGUGGCGACCGGCGCACGGGUGAGUAACGCGUAUGCAACCUACCUAUCAGAGGGGAAUAACCCGGCGAAAGUCGGACUAAUACCGCAUAAAACAGGGGCACCGCAUGGUGAUAUUUGUUAAAGAAAUUCGCUGAUAGAUGGGCAUGCGUUCCAUUAGGUAAUUGGUGAGGUAACGGCUCACCAAGCCGACGAUGGAUAGGGGAACUGAGAGGGUGGUCCCCCACACUGGUACUGAGACACGGACCAGACUCCUACGGGAGGCAGCAGUGAGGAAUAUUGGUCAAUGGGCGAGAGCCUGAACCAGCCAAGUCGCGUGAAGGAAGAAGGAUCUAUGGUUCGUAAACUUCUUUUGCAGGGGAAUAAAGUGCAGGACGUGUCCUGUUUUGUAUGUACCCUGAGAAUAAGGAUCGGCUAACUCCGUGCCAGCCGCCGCAGUAA